Molecule: ribosomal RNA, 425 nt
Filed under: uncultured Pantoea sp.
Lineage: Bacteria; Pseudomonadati; Pseudomonadota; Gammaproteobacteria; Enterobacterales; Erwiniaceae
Description: bacterial SSU rRNA
Rfam family: Bacterial small subunit ribosomal RNA
Source: RNAcentral
GUGGGGAAUAUUGCACAAUGGGCGCAAGCCUGAUGCAGCCAUGCCGCGUGUAUGAAGAAGGCCUUCGGGUUGUAAAGUACUUUCAGCGGGGAGGAAGGCGGUGAGGUUAAUAACCUCGCCGAUUGACGUUACCCGCAGAAGAAGCACCGGCUAACUCCGUGCCAGCAGCCGCGGUAAUACGGAGGGUGCAAGCGUUAAUCGGAAUUACUGGGCGUAAAGCGCACGCAGGCGGUCUGUUAAGUCAGAUGUGAAAUCCCCGGGCUUAACCUGGGAACUGCAUUUGAAACUGGCAGGCUUGAGUCUCGUAGAGGGGGGUAGAAUUCCAGGUGUAGCGGUGAAAUGCGUAGAGAUCUGGAGGAAUACCGGUGGCGAAGGCGGCCCCCUGGACGAAGACUGACGCUCAGGUGCGAAAGCGUGGGGAGCAA